This 393-nucleotide ribosomal RNA is filed under the name uncultured Campylobacterota bacterium. RNAcentral's name for it is "bacterial SSU rRNA". It matches the Rfam family "Bacterial small subunit ribosomal RNA", at positions 8 to 414 of the family's 1533-position model. The record is from RNAcentral. Lineage: Bacteria; Pseudomonadati; Campylobacterota.
AGAGUUUGAUCCUGGCUCAGAGUGAACGCUGGCGGCGUGCUUAACACAUGCAAGUCGAACGAUGAAGCAGCUGCUUGCAGCUGUGGAUUAGUGGCGCACGGGUGAGUAAUGGAUAGGUUACCUGCCUCAUAGUCUGGGACAACAAUUGGAAACGAUUGCUAAUACCGGAUAUUCCCUACGGGGGAAAGAUUUAUUGCUAUGAGAUGGGCCUAUCUCCUAUCAGCUAGUUGGUAAGGUAAUGGCUUACCAAGGCUAUGACGGGUAGCUGGUCUUAGAGGACGAUCAGCCACACUGGAACUGAGACACGGUCCAGACUCCUACGGGAGGCAGCAGUGGGGAAUAUUGCACAAUGGGGGAAACCCUGAUGCAGCAACGCCGCGUGGAGGANGACGC